Molecule: non-coding RNA, 1212 nt
Organism: Podarcis lilfordi (Lilford's wall lizard)
Lineage: Eukaryota; Metazoa; Chordata; Lepidosauria; Squamata; Lacertidae
Source: the annotation of a GenBank genome assembly
GUCUAUUCCAGUAAUGGCCACACGAGGGCACUGUUUAUUUUCCUAUCCAUGUCUAUUCCAGUAUUGGCCACAGGAGGGCACUGUUUAUUUUCCUAUCCAUGUCUAUUCCAGUAAUGGCCACAGGAGGGCACUGUUUAUUUUCCUAUCCAUGUCUAUUCCAGUAUUGGCCACACGAGGGCACUGUUUAUUUUCCUAUCCAUGUCUAUUCCAGUAAUGGCCACACGAGGGCACUGUUUAUUUUCCUAUCCAUGUCUAUUCCAGUAAUGGCCACACGGGGUCACUGUUUAUUUUCCUAUUGAGGUCUAUUCCAGUAUUGGCCACACGGGGGCACUGUUUAUUUUCCUAUUGAGUCUAUUCCAGUACUGGCCACACGAGGGCACUGUUUAUUUUCCUAUUGAGGUCUAUUCCAGUAUUGGCCACACGGGGGCACUGUUUAUUUUCCUAUUGAGGUCUAUUCCAGUAAUGACCACACGGGGUCGCUGUUUAUUUUCCUAUUGAGGUCUAUUCCAGUAAUGGCCACACGAGGGCACUGUUUAUUUUCCUGUCCAUGUCUAUUCCAGUAAUGGCCACACGGGGUCACUGUUUAUUUUCCUAUUGAGGUCUAUUCCAGUAAUGGCCACACGAGGGCGCUGUUUAUUUUCCUAUCCAUGUCUAUUCCAGUAAUGGCCACAGGAGGGCACUGUUUAUUUUCCUAUCUAUGUCUAUUCCAGUAAUGGCCACAGGAGGGCACUGUUUAUUUUCCUAUCUAUGUCUAUUCCAGUAAUGGCCACAGGAGGGCACUGUUUAUUUUCCUAUCCAUGUCUAUUCCAGUAAUGGCCACACGAGGGCACUGUUUAUUUUCCUAUUGAGGUCUAUUCCAGUAAUGGCCACACGAGGGCACUGUUUAUUUUCCUAUCCAUGUCUAUUCCAGUAAUGGCCACACGAGGGCACUGUUUUUAUUCCUAUCUAUGUCUAACCCUAUCCAGACCCCUCAGGCACUGUUGGGACACCUCCCAGAAGGGGUUUUUUGGGGGGGUCCCUCCAGCCUUCCUUCUCCGCAGGGACCACAAGAGGUAUCUAGUCUGACCCCUGAAAUGCAGAGAGGGAACCCCAGAGGCAUCUAGUCUGACCCCUGAAAUGCAGAAAUCUAGUCUAGGCCCUGCUGCCCUCAACCAACAUGGCGCCGCUGCUGCCUCUUCCGCCCUUUCUUUCCCCUCCCUCUUUCCAGUCCCC